RNAcentral lists this ribosomal RNA (252 nucleotides) under uncultured Bacteroidales bacterium. Its description in RNAcentral is "partial 16S ribosomal RNA". It matches the Rfam family "Bacterial small subunit ribosomal RNA", at positions 524 to 776 of the family's 1533-position model. The record is from RNAcentral. Lineage: Bacteria; Pseudomonadati; Bacteroidota; Bacteroidia; Bacteroidales.
UACGUAGGGGGCAAGCGUUAUCCGGAUUUACUGGGUGUAAAGGGUGCGCAGGCGGCCUGUUAAGUCAGCGGUAAAAGCCCGGGGCUCAACCCCGGCGAGCCGUUGAAACUGGCGGGCUGGAGUUGGAGAGAAGUACGCGGAAUGCGCGGUGUAGCGGUGAAAUGCAUAGAUAUCACGCAGAACUCCGAUUGCGAAGGCAGCUUACUAAGCCAUAACUGACACUGAAGCACGAAAGCGUGGGGAUCAAACAGG